This 71-nucleotide transfer RNA is filed under the name Stegodyphus mimosarum. It matches the Rfam family "tRNA". Rfam says of the family: Transfer RNA (tRNA) molecules are approximately 80 nucleotides in length. The record is from Rfam by way of RNAcentral. Lineage: Eukaryota; Metazoa; Arthropoda; Arachnida; Araneae; Eresidae.
GCCUACGUGGUGUAGUGGUCAGCACGCUGGGUGCGUAACCGAAGUUCGUGGUUCGAGUCCCGGCGAAGGCU